GACGGUUUGGCCGAGUGGUCUAAGGCGCUAGAUUUAGUCUCUGGUCCGAAAGGGCGUGGGUUUAAAUCCCACAGCCGUUA
Molecule: transfer RNA, 80 nt
Organism: Ipomoea nil (Japanese morning glory)
Lineage: Eukaryota; Viridiplantae; Streptophyta; Magnoliopsida; Solanales; Convolvulaceae
Rfam family: tRNA
About the family: Transfer RNA (tRNA) molecules are approximately 80 nucleotides in length. Their secondary structure includes four short double-helical elements and three loops (D, anti-codon, and T loops). Further hydrogen bonds mediate the characteristic L-shaped molecular structure. tRNAs have two regions of fundamental functional importance: the anti-codon, which is responsible for specific mRNA codon recognition, and the 3' end, to which the tRNAs corresponding amino acid is attached (by aminoacyl-tRNA synthetases). tRNAs cope with the degeneracy of the genetic code in two manners: having more than one tRNA (with a specific anti-codon) for a particular amino acid; and 'wobble' base-pairing, i.e. permitting non-standard base-pairing at the 3rd anti-codon position.
Source: Rfam